This 253-nucleotide ribosomal RNA is filed under the name uncultured bacterium. Its description in RNAcentral is "partial 16S ribosomal RNA". It matches the Rfam family "Bacterial small subunit ribosomal RNA", at positions 524 to 776 of the family's 1533-position model. The record is from RNAcentral.
UACGAAGGGGGCUAGCGUUGCUCGGAAUCACUGGGCGUAAAGCGCGUGUAGGCGGCCAUCUAAGUCGGGCGUGAAAUCCCACGGCUCAACCGUGGAAGUGCACUCGAAACUGGAUGGCUAGAGUCCUGGAGAGGAAGGUGGAAUGCUUGGUGUAGAGGUGAAAUUCGUAGAUAUUCGCAAGAACACCAGUGGCGAAGGCGGCUCACUGGCCCGGUACUGACGCUGAGGUGCGAAAGCGUGGGGAGCAAACAGG